AGGGAAGGGUCUCAGGACCUGAGGUCUCACCCAGAUCCAGUGUGGCCACACCUCUUCUCACCUCAG
Molecule: microRNA precursor, 66 nt
Filed under: Dipodomys ordii (Ord's kangaroo rat)
Lineage: Eukaryota; Metazoa; Chordata; Mammalia; Rodentia; Heteromyidae
Description: miRNA (ENSDORG00000028655.1)
Source: RNAcentral